This 253-nucleotide unclassified non-coding RNA is filed under the name uncultured Ascomycota. RNAcentral's name for it is "sequence contains ITS2". The record is from RNAcentral. Lineage: Eukaryota; Fungi; Ascomycota.
AACGCACAUUGCGCCCUUUGGCAUUCCGAAGGGCAUGCCUGUUCGAGCGUCAUUAUCAACCCUCAAGCUCGGCUUGUUGUUGGACCCCAGGGUGAUGCGAGUCUCCCGGCCCCAAAGAUAAUGACGGUGUCUGUAGAACCCUCGGUACAAUGAGCUUCUUCAAGCACGUAUCGAGAUAGGUUCGCGGACCCGGUCUGUAACCACAAUUUCUAAGGUUGACCUCGGAUCAGGUAGGGAUACCCGCUGAACUUAA